This 1479-nucleotide ribosomal RNA is filed under the name Triticum aestivum (bread wheat). Its description in RNAcentral is "partial small subunit ribosomal RNA". Lineage: Eukaryota; Viridiplantae; Streptophyta; Magnoliopsida; Poales; Poaceae. The record is from RNAcentral.
AUGGAGGCGAGCUCGGGUCCUAGCCGGAGUUCCAGCCAGGAGCCGGAUGGCCCAUGCGACGGAGCGGACCGCCUCAGCGCCCUCCCCGACGACCUGCUCCUCGACGUCCUCGCCCGCCUCCCCUGCGCCGCCGCCGCCGCCCGCACCGAAGUCCUCUCCCGCCGGUGGCUCGGCCUCUGGGCCGGCCUCCGCCAGAUCGUCUUCCGCGGCGUGGCCCUCCCGUCGCUCGAGGCGGCGCUCGGCCGCGUCGAUCUUCCCCUGCCCGCGGUUUCCCUCAUCAAAAUCCGCGUCCCCAUCAAGCAGCAGCGUCCCCAUCAACCCGCCCCCAAGGACAAGGAGCACUGGAGAGACAGCGCCGGCGUCCCCAUCAACUCGCUGCUCCGCGCCGCCGCGCGGCUCGAGCCGGAGAAGCUCGACUUCCGCAUCCCCUCCGGCAUAAGCGAGCGCGCCCUCGCUGUCGACCUGCCUUGCUUGCCCCGCGCCACCUUCAUCGCGCUCAACUUUUCCUCCCUCUUCUCCCUCGCCGCCGUGCCGGCCGGCGCCGAGUUCCCCGCACUCGAGACGCUGUCCCUGGCGGAAUGCAUCACCGACCUCGGCGGCUUGCUCUCCUGCUGCCCGCGCUUGCGCACGCUCCGCCUCAGCAGGGCUGUGUUCCCUGACUGCGUCAUUAGGGUCGUCAACUCGCCUCUGCUGCAGGAGCUUGUCGUGGAAUGCGAGGCCAGAUUGACACAGCGUGUCGUCAUUGUUGCUCCCGAGCUUAAGCAAUUGACCAUCUCAUUUACAUCGGUGGUGGCGGUUAACAUCACCGUCUUGGCGCCAGUGGUGGAGAAGAUUUCAUGGCAGUGCUGCUACUUGGGGCCGUAUAUUGUGUUUGGUCUUUGGAGCCUGAGCAAACUGCGGCUACAGUCGGCGGAGAGACAAGGAGAGCCAACGACGCUGUACAUUUAUGCCUGCGUCGACCCGUCUCCUUUUCGCGCUCAGGUGCACAACUUUAGGCGGGAGAUACAGAGGCACAUGGUUGCUGCCUUCUCCGUUUUCGAGCUACAUCUCACAGCCAAGGGGCAUGCUUUCGGAGCGUUUGUGGUUCAUCAUCUCCUUGGGAUGGAUCGAAUUAGUACUGCUACUCGGAGGCUUAAGGUCGUCCUACAUAGAUCAGAGUUGAGAGAAGUAUGCCCGACACACUGUCCUUGUGAGUCUCCGAACUGGAGGUCCCAAACUAUCUCCUUGGAUGCUCUCGAGGAAGUGGAGUUCAAUGGAUUCGACGGAGUGGAUCAUGAGUUUGAUUUAUUGGAAUUGAUACUUGGAUGUGCACCGAUGCUAAAAAGAAUGAUUGUCAAGCUGUCCGAGGAGACCUCGGCAAGUAAUGAUGGAUGCGCAAAGAUAGUCAACAUCUUCAAGCAGGCAUCUUCUUCUGUGGAAUGUAAUGUUUAUCACAGCUCGGGGAUAAUGUACAGCAGCCAAAAUUGCCCUUCGACAUGA